This 26-nucleotide non-coding RNA is filed under the name Mus musculus (house mouse). Lineage: Eukaryota; Metazoa; Chordata; Mammalia; Rodentia; Muridae. The record is from RNAcentral.
UAGCAUCCUUUCUAAAGUGUUCUGGU